CCUACGGGUGGCAGCAGUGAGGAAUAUUGGUCAAUGGACGAGAGUCUGAACCAGCCAAGUAGCGUGAAGGAUGACUGCCCUAUGGGUUGUAAACUUCUUUUAUAAAGGAAUAAAACGAUGCACGUGUGCCUUUUUGCAUGUACUUUAUGAAUAAGGAUCGGCUAACUCCGUGCCAGCAGCCGCGGUAAUACGGGGGAGGCAAGCGUUAUCCGGAUUUAUUGGGUUUAAAGGGUGCGUAGGCUGUGAGGUAAGUCAGCGGUGAAAUGCCACCGCCAAACGGGGUGAAGUGCCAUUGAUACUGGCUUGCUGGAAUGCGGAUGCAGUGGGAGGAAUGUGUGGUGUAGCGGUGAAAUGCAUAGAGAUCACACAGAAUACCGAUUGCGAAGGCAUCUCCCGAAUCCGCGAUUGACGCUGAUGCACGAAAGCGUGGGUAUCAAACAGGAUUAGAUACCCGAGUAGUC
This 461-nucleotide ribosomal RNA is filed under the name uncultured bacterium. RNAcentral describes it as "partial 16S ribosomal RNA". It matches the Rfam family "Bacterial small subunit ribosomal RNA", at positions 338 to 795 of the family's 1533-position model. The record is from RNAcentral.